UAUAGAUACCCAGGUAGUCCACGCCGUAAACGAUGAGUGCUAAGUGUUAGAGGGUUUCCGCCCUUUAGUGCUGAAGUUAACGCAUUAAGCACUCCGCCUGGGGAAUACGGCCGCAAGGCUGAAACUCAAAGGAAUUGACGGGGGCCCGCACAAGCGGUGGAGCAUGUGGUUUAAUUCGAAGCAACGCGAAGAACCUUACCAGGUCUUGACAUCCUCUGACAACCCUAGAGAUAGGGCUUCUCCUUCGGGAGCAGAGUGACAGGUGGUGCAUGGUUGUCGUCAGCUCGUGUCGUGAGAUGUUGGGUUAAGUCCCGCAACGAGCGCAACCCUUGAUCUUAGUUGCCAUCAUUCAGUUGGGCACUCUAAGGUGACUGCCGGUGACAAACCGGAGGAAGGUGGGGAUGACGUCAAAUCAUCAUGCCCCUUAUGACCUGGGCUACACACGUGCUACAAUGGACGGUACAAAGAGCUGCAAGACCGCGAGGUGGAGCUAAUCUCAUAAAACCGUUCUCAGUUCGGAUUGU
This 524-nucleotide ribosomal RNA is filed under the name uncultured bacterium. RNAcentral's name for it is "bacterial SSU rRNA". It matches the Rfam family "Bacterial small subunit ribosomal RNA", at positions 777 to 1301 of the family's 1533-position model. The record is from RNAcentral.